Long non-coding RNA from Phasianus colchicus (ring-necked pheasant), 1833 nucleotides. The record is from Ensembl. NCBI's taxonomy places the organism in Eukaryota, Metazoa, Chordata, Aves, Galliformes, Phasianidae.
CACAGGUAGCUCUCUUCAUAGCCUCUGAAUUGCUUUCCCAGUGGAAAAGCAAGGGCAGGCUGCUCUGCUUUCCAGUAGCUGCUGCCUUCACCUGACUUCGCUCUCAUCUUAUCUUAGGAGAAUAAAUCCCUUUCUUUGCUAGAGGGUAGGUUUAACAUAACAUCCUGCUAAGCUUUCUGCAGUCCCAGCCAGCCUGCACCCUCCUCCUGGUCAUCUCCAUCCCUUCUUCCUGUCGCUGGUCCUUAUCUAAGUGUGUAUCACGUUGGAUACUAGGGAAAAAUUCAUCUCAGGGCACAGCUGCACAGGGAGUGGGGGCAGUCACCGUGCUGGGAGGUGUUCAGAGCUGUGGGGAUGUGGCACUGAGCAACGUGGGCAGUGGGCAUGGUGGGCUGGGGUUGGACCUGGGGACCUGAGGGGUCUUUUCCAGCCUCAGUGGUUCUGUGAAAUGUAACCUGAGGGUUACAGGCACCGGAUUCUGUAGUAGCCCAUAGGCUAGCAAGGCAGGAGGCGGUGCCAGCUGUGUAGGACCUCAAGCCUAAAUAGCCAUUAGCAUCAGGCUGGCCUUGAUUAAGCCUGAUGGCAGGCUGAGGGGAUGUUGGAAGUUUGUUCCACCUCCUUUAAGUAGGUAUCCCUUUUUAAAGGGAAGGAUGAAAUGAGGGAUGCCAUGGUGGUGCUCCAGGUACUUUCAUGGUUGCAUAUUGUGUAGGGGCUAAGGCGGGCUGCUGAAAAAUCACCUGGAAGGAGUUGGGUAAGUCUUGGCUGUGCUAAGAUUUGCUGAGCGUGUGAGGCUCUUGGUCAGAGGUAUGGAUCUUCUGUUAGCCUGAGUGAAGUACAGCUCGAGCUGCAGGACUUACUGGAGCAUCUCUUGCAGUGUGCUCUGGAGCAGGCACGGUGCGGGCACCAGGGAGCCCGUUCUCUUAUUGCUGUCCCUUGUUUUGUGCCUUGCUUUGUGCUACCUGUCCCUCCUUGCUAUCUAGGCCACGUGUUAGAUCAGCACCGUUUUUAGUUCGGGGUGAAUCUGAACUGAAGAACGCUGUAUGCGAUAGCCAGGAACGAGCUCGGGGCUGGGAGCAGCGGAGCCUUUCUUAUGGCAGGUUGUGCUUUGCUCUGGCAAGGUCUGCAGGCCGGUCUGCUGCAGGGAUUCCUCAGCACAAGCCUGAACGGUGUGGGUUCAGCUGUGUUUGACAGGAGCUGAAACUUAUCACAGUCAGUAAGCUGCAAUGUGUGCUGCUGUAGGAGAGCUGGCCAGAACCUGGAUUUCUUCCCCAACCACCUCUGUGAGUGUGGGGACAGGAUGUUUCAGGGGGUAGCUGGGAAAGCCCAUUUUAUUUUCAUGUUGCUCUUUUUUCCCUCUCUUGCUUGACUCCAGUUUUAAAGGCUGUCCUGGUUAGUUGCUCCCCACACCAACUACCCAUAAAAAUCCUCUGCAGAGGCACACCAGGGAGCGUGCUAGAACUGGGAGGUACACCAGUGUGCUGCACAGUGUGUUUGCAUCUGCUCCAGUGUUGGCUGCCCUCUUCCUGCAAGUGACAGGCUCUGGCAAAUGCCAGGCUGCUCAUUACCUUUGCACUGCUCCAUACAUAAUGAGGUAAAAUGAAAACAAGUUCCCUCACUGCAGCUAUGUGAUCUGGGAACUCAUAAAGGCUAAAGUGCUUUUAAUUAUGAGCUUGUUCCGAUUAUGCCCAGGCUUUCUGUUUCCUCCCAUGGAGCAGACCAGCCCUCUGAGGUCAAGAUGAACUUCAGUUAGAGAACUUCUGGCACGCAGUUAGGAAAACUGGAGAGUUUCCCCCCUCCUAAAACUAGACACCUGCAAUGUGUGAUCUAUUGUUCCCC